RNAcentral lists this long non-coding RNA (260 nucleotides) under Trifolium pratense (red clover). RNAcentral's name for it is "long non-coding RNA (TPRA_LNC009592)". Lineage: Eukaryota; Viridiplantae; Streptophyta; Magnoliopsida; Fabales; Fabaceae. The record is from RNAcentral.
ACAGAAAAUUGUUAACCCAGUUUAGCCAAUCUGCCUACUCUGGGGGAUACCAAUCCAGGAAGGAAAUCCACUAAUAGCUCUAGUCACUAAGACCUCCAGCAAACCCUUUGAAUUUACGUCUUACACUAAGACCUCCAGCAAACCCUCGGUUUACGUCUUACACUAAGACCUCCAGCAAAUCCUAGGUUUACGCCUUAUGACCUCGAGACUACUCAUGUAACUUCUGCCUAGGAACUCCUAGACAUGAGAUCCCAUCUCAC